AGCAGCCGCGGUAAUUCCAGCUCCAAUAGCGUAUAUUAAAGUUGUUGCAGUUAAAAAGCUCGUAGUUGAAUUUCGGGAUCAGUACGCUGGUCGUGCCUUUGGUAUGUACUGGUGUCACUGAUUCCUCCCUUCUGAAGAACCGUUAUGCCAUUUAUUUGGUGUGGCGGGAAAUCAGGACUGUUACUUUGAAAAAAUUAGAGUGUUUAAAGCAGGCUCGCGCUUGAAUACAUUAGCAUGGAAUAAUGAAAUAGGACGUUUGAUUCUAUUUUGUUGGUUUCUAGGAUCGACGUAAUGAUUAAUAGGGAUAGUUGGGGGCAUUAGUAUUCAAUUGUCAGAGGUGAAAUUCUUGGAUUUAUUGAAGACUAACUACUGCGAAAGCAUUUGCCAAGGAUGUUUUCAUUAAUCAAGAACGAAAGUUAGGGGAUCGAAGACGAUCAGAUACCGUCGUAG
RNAcentral lists this ribosomal RNA (450 nucleotides) under uncultured Glomeromycotina. RNAcentral's name for it is "SSU rRNA". It matches the Rfam family "Eukaryotic small subunit ribosomal RNA", at positions 569 to 1023 of the family's 1831-position model. The record is from RNAcentral. Lineage: Eukaryota; Fungi; Glomeromycota.